AGGGUUUGAUCCUGGCUCAGGAUGAACGCUACGCGGUAGGCUUAACACAUGCAAGUCGAGGGGUAACAGGGUCUUCGGAUCGCUGACGACCGGCGCACGGGUGAGUAACGCGUAUGCAACCUGCCUGUAGCUGAGGGAUAGCCCGGAGAAAUCCGGAUUAAUAUCUCAUAAUAUUGCAAUUUCGCAUGUUAUUGCAAUUAAAGCUCCGGCGGCUACAGAUGGGCAUGCGUGACAUUAGCUUGUUGGUGAGGUAACGGCUCACCAAGGCUACGAUGUCUAGGGGGUCUAAAAGGAUGAUCCCCCACACUGGUACUGAGACACGGACCAGACUCCUACGGGAGGCAGCAGUGAGGAAUAUUGGUCAAUGGGCGAAAGCCUGAACCAGCCAAUCCGCGUGCAGGAUGACGGCCCUAUGGGUUGUAAACUGCUUUUAUACAGGAAGAACCCUCCAUACGUGUAUGGAGUUGACUGUACUGUAAGAAUAAGCAUCGGCUAACUCCGUGCCAGCAGCCGCGGUAAUACGGAGGAUGCAAGCGUUAUCCGGAUUUAUUAGGUUUAAAGGGUUCGUAGGCGGAUAAUUAAGUCAGUGGUGAAAUCCUGCAGCUUAACUGUAGAACUGCCAUUGAUACUGGUUGUCUUGAGUUUAGUUGAGGUAGGCGGAAUGUGUAGUGUAGCGGUGAAAUGCUUAGAUAUUACACAGAACACCGAUUGCGAAGGCAGCUUACUAAGCUAAUACUGACGCUAAGGAACGAAAGCGUGGGGAGCGAACAGGAUUAGAUACCCUGGUAGUCCACGCCGUAAACGAUGACCACUCGUUGUAUGUCAAAUUAAUGGCAUGUGACCGAGCGAAAGCAUUAAGUGAUCCACCUGGGGAGUACGUCGGCAACGAUGAAACUCAAAGGAAUUGACGGGGGCCCGCACAAGCGGAGGAACAUGUGGUUUAAUUCGAUGAUACGCGAGGAACCUUACCUGGGCUUAAAUGUAGGACGAUUUUUGCCGAAAGGCAUUUUCCCUUCGGGGCGGCCUGCAAGGUGCUGCAUGGUUGUCGUCAGCUCGUGCCGUGAGGUGUCGGGUUAAGUCCCAUAACGAGCGCAACCCUCAUCGUUAGUUGCCAGCGGAUAAUGCCGGGGACUCUAGCGAGACUGCCACCGUAAGGUGAGAGGAAGGUGGGGAUGACGUCAAAUCAGCACGGCCCUUAUGUCCAGGGCUACACACGUGUUACAAUGGUCAGUACAAAGGGAAGCUACCUGGCAACAGGAUGCAAAUCUCUAAAACUGGUCUCAGUUCGGAUCGGAGUCUGCAACUCGACUCCGUGAAGUUGGAUUCGCUAGUAAUCGCGCAUCAGCAACGGCGCGGUGAAUACGUUCCCGGGCCUUGUACACACCGCCCGUCAAGCCAUGGAAGCUGGGGGUACCUAAAGUCCGUAACCGCAAGGAGCGGCCUAGGGUAAAACUAGUGACUGGGGCUAAGUCGUAACAAGGUAGCCG
Molecule: ribosomal RNA, 1487 nt
Filed under: uncultured bacterium
Lineage: Bacteria
Description: bacterial SSU rRNA
Rfam family: Bacterial small subunit ribosomal RNA
Source: RNAcentral